This 856-nucleotide ribosomal RNA is filed under the name Agaricus dolichocaulis. Its description in RNAcentral is "partial large subunit ribosomal RNA". It matches the Rfam family "Eukaryotic large subunit ribosomal RNA", at positions 70 to 913 of the family's 3401-position model. The record is from RNAcentral. Lineage: Eukaryota; Fungi; Basidiomycota; Agaricomycetes; Agaricales; Agaricaceae.
AAGGAUUCCCCUAGUAACUGCGAGUGAAGCGGGAAAAGCUCAAAUUUAAAAUCUGGCGGUCUCUGGCCGUCCGAGUUGUAAUCUAGAGAAGUAAUGCCCGUGCUGGACCGUGUAUAAGUCUCCUGGGAUGGGGCGUCAUAGAGGGUGAGAAUCCCGUCUUUGACACGGACUACCAGUGCAUUGUGGUAUGCUCUCAAAGAGUCGAGUUGUUUGGGAAUGCAGCUCAAAAUGGGUGGUAAAUUCCAUCUAAAGCUAAAUAUUGGCGAGAGACCGAUAGCGAACAAGUACCGUGAGGGAAAGAUGAAAAGAACUUUGGAAAGAGAGUUAAACAGUACGUGAAAUUGCUGAAAGGGAAACGCUUGAAGUCAGUCGCGUUGGCCGGGGAUCAGCCUUGCUUUUGCAUGGUGUACUUUCUGGUUGACGGGUCAGCAUCAAUUUUGACCGCUGGAAAAAGACCUGGGGAAUGUGGCAGCUUCGGCUGUGUUAUAGCCCCUAGUCGCAUACAGUGGUUGGGAUUGAGGAACUCAGCACGCCGCAAGGCCGGGUUUCGACCACGUUCGUGCUUAGGAUGCUGGCAUAAUGGCUUUAAGCGACCCGUCUUGAAACACGGACCAAGGAGUCUAACAUGCCUGCGAGUAUUUGGGUGGAAAACCCAAGUGCGUAAUGAAAGUGAAAGUUGAGAUCCCUGUCGUGGGGAGCAUCGACGCCCGGACCAGAACUUUUGGGACGGAUCCGCGGUGGAGCAUGUAUGUUGGGACCCGAAAGAUGGUGAACUAUGCCUGAAUAGGGUGAAGCCAGAGGAAACUCUGGUGGAGGCUCGUAGCGAUUCUGACGUGCAAAUCGAUCGUCAAAUUUG